ACUGGAUUGCGGAUCUGAGCCCCAAGUUUCGGCUGUGGGAGUCCGGAGAUCGUUCUCACGAUGUGACCGCCUGAGUCGGCUGGUCUACCGAACCCUAUUCCUCUCUCUCGCUGCCUUCUCCGACGGACCCUAACGCCUCCAUAUCUGGAUCAUAGUUUAUCAUAUUGUAAAAGGAGAUAUUGUGCCAAUCAUCAUGGGAAGCAAAAGCUGUAUACCUCCUCUGCAUCUGCAACGGCCUCUUCCUGGUCCUGGCUUUCUGCAACCAGAUCCAUUUGGUCUAGGCAUUCUCCUCCCGCCGGGUGUUUUUCCUUUCGAUAAGUUGCCACCUCCAGAAAUUAUGGAGCAGAAGCUUGCUGCACAACAUGUGGAAAUGCAAAGACUUGCAAUAGAGAACGAAAGUUUUGCAGCUACCCAUUAUUCUACGAGGAAGGAAUUAUCUGCUGCCCAACAGGAGUUGCAGAGAUUGCAGACUGACAUGGGUGCCAUUAGAGCUGAUCAAGAGCAACAAAUUUGCAGCAGGCUCGUCCAGAAGCUCAGAGCUUGGUAGCAGCAAGACAGGAGCUAAUUUCCAGAGUACAACAGCUGACUGAGGAUUUGCAGAGGAGCCAUGGUAAUGUCCAGCAAAUCCCAUCGUUGAUGUUGGAACUUGCGGCCCUUAGACAAGAAUAUCAAGAUUUCAGGUCAUAAAUCUCUCUUCGGCUUUAUAUUCAAGCACACAACUUGUUCUCCUAAUGGUUUGACGUAAGGUCAAAUUGUUCAUUUAGUUUUGUAACAAUUUGACCUUACGAUCAAACCGAGAACAUGCAGAAAUUGGUUCACAUUAUUCUAUAAAAUUCUGUGAAUACUAAAUUGAAUGGUACCGUCCCAAAGCGUGAAAUAGAAGACUGUCACCAAGGCCUUGCUACUA
Long non-coding RNA from Musa acuminata AAA Group (dessert banana), 907 nucleotides. RefSeq lists it as uncharacterized. The record is from RefSeq and is a predicted model, not a curated record. The transcript is spliced from 3 exons. NCBI's taxonomy places the organism in Eukaryota, Viridiplantae, Streptophyta, Magnoliopsida, Zingiberales, Musaceae.